Molecule: long non-coding RNA, 2238 nt
Organism: Oryza brachyantha (malo sina)
Lineage: Eukaryota; Viridiplantae; Streptophyta; Magnoliopsida; Poales; Poaceae
Exons: 3
Source: RefSeq, a predicted model, not a curated record
CAUGCAAUCCUUAACUCAUGGUGUAGCUGCAGUCAUUCCAAAAAAAAAUGCAGUCCUUAAUUCUUGUUGUAGUCGCAGUCAUUCGUCCAAAAAAUCAUGCACUCCUUAAUUCAUGGUGUAGUUGCUCUUAUUUCAAAAAAAUAUGUGCUCCUAAUUCAUGUUGCAUGUGUAGUCCAAAAAAUUUGCAGUCCCUAUUUCAUGAUUAUUAAUUGCAGUCAGUCCAAAAAAACAUGUGGUCAAUCCCAAUUUCCAUGGUGUUGUCUUAUUAAUUGCAGUUAGUCCAAACAAAUGUGAAGUCAGUCCAAAUUUGCAUGCUAUUUGCACUUGGUCCAAGCAUUACUAGCCUACUCAAUAUUAUUUGCUAGCAGCCAAGACAGUGAAAUUAAACACGCAAACUACUAGAACAUCCAUCUAUAUAUAUUGACCCUCCCAUUCUGAAUCCAUCACAACCUAUCUCUCUUUUCUUUUCAAAAGUACUAUGCCAGACUCAUCCUCCUCAGAUGACCUAGACCCAUCCAAAUUUCUUGACAAAUACAUCUCUGAUAUGAAUGUCCUAGAUUCCUUUGCUACAGAAUUGUAUAGAAGAUCAAGGCGAAGUUUGCGGCUAUGCUAGUCCAGCGCCUGGGAGGAACAAGGAAGACUAUUGCAAGGGAUCAUGGAGAAGGUCACUGACGUCUUGUGGCUGAUUACUUUGCAGAUAAGCCACUGUACUCUGAGAGAAGGUUUUGCACAAGAUUUCGUAUGCGAAAGCAUCUCUUUUUACGCAUCGUGCAAGCCCUAGGUCACUGGUCUCCGUAUUUUAUUCCAAGAGAAGAUUGUUCUGGUCGCAUAGGCCUUUCUCCACUUCAAAAGUGCACAACAGCGAUUUGUAUGUUAGCAUAUGGCACGCCUGCUGAUGCCUUAGAUGAGUACUUGCUAAUCGGCAAGAGCACAUCCUUAGAGUGUUUGGACACUUUUGCUUACGGAAUAGUUGAGGUUUUUGGUGGGCAAUAUUUGCGAUGACCCACAAGUGAGGAUUUAGAGCGUAUACUACAAGUUAAUGAGUCUCGUGGCUUUCCGGGUAGGCUAGGAAGUAUCGAUUGCAUGCAUUGAAGGUGGAAGAGUUGUCCGAGAGCUUCGAGGGGCCAAUUCACUCGUGGUGACUACAAGGUCCCAACAAUGAUCCUUGAAGUGGUUGCUUCACAUGACCUUUGGAUUUGGCAUUCUUUCUUUGGUGUCGCUGGUUCUAACAGCGACAUCAAUGUGCUGAAUCAGUCACCCUUAUUCCUAGAACAAGUUAGAGGGGAGGCUCCUCAGUUCAUUUUUUUCUAACGGGAACAAGUAUAACAAUGGGUAUUACCUUGCUGAUGGUAUAUACCCAGAUUGGGCCAGCUUCAUCAAGACUAUAUCAAUUCCAUAAAUAGAGAAGCAUAAAUUGUUUGCUGAACGUCAAGAGGGGGCAAUGAAAGAUGUGGAGCGAGCUUUUGGAGUGUUGCAAGCACAUCUCAACAUUGUGCGCCGUCCAGCAAAGAGGUGGAACGAAAGAGUGUUGGGAAAAUAAUGCUAGCUUGUGUGAUUCUCCACAAUAUGAUUGUUGAAGAUGAGAAAGUGGAUGCAACAUGUGACCUACCUCAAUAGAAUUCGUAGGACAUCAAUAGUUCUGCCUCCUAAAGUAACUUCUGGUGAUAAUCCAUGUUUUAGUGAUGUCCUACGCAGAAAAUCUGCUAUUUGUGAUCGUUCUAUGCAUACCUCCAACUGAAAUCUGAUUUAAUUGAGCAUAUUUGGCAUCGUUUUGGAGAUAUCAGCAGGCAUAAACAUGGUACAUGCUUUGCUCUGCUAUCCAAAUCAUGGUGCUGCACUUCUUACAGGUUAAAUGAUCACUCAGCCAACUAAUAUGAUGCAACAAUUCUGCUAUCAACGGUCUAUCUUUAAUUAGAUGAAGAAACCAUUGCCUCAUUCGGUGGAAUAUAUAUAUUUUGCUUAAUGUCCAAUUGUUGAUGUGACUUUUGGAACUAUAAACCGUUAUGUCUGUUUUUCUUUAUCGAUAAUAUUAUCCCGUUAUGUUGGUUUUAUGGAACUGUAAUAACUGCAGCUAUCCUUUAGUACCUUGCCCUUUUGUAUAAGACUUGUGUUUGAACUAGGAUAAUAUUAUCGAUAAUCUAUGGUAUUUAAUGAUAGUGUCCUGUGAUUUUUGUACUGAACAGAAUAUAAUUAGUAUUGUGUUUGAUAUGCCCUUGUACAAAUGGAUACAAAGAUACA